UACGUAGGGCGCAAGCGUUGUCCGGAAUUAUUGGGCGUAAAGAGCUCGUAGGCGGUUUGUCGCGUCUGUCGUGAAAGCUUGGGGCUUAACCCCAAGUCUGCGGUGGAUACGGGCAGACUAGAGGCAGGUAGGGGAGAACGGAAUUCCCGGGGUAGCGGUGAAAUGCGCAGAUAUCUGAAGGAACAUCAGUGGCGAAAGCGACUUCCUGGACCAAUACUGACGCUCAUGUGCGAAAGCGUGGGGAGCAAACAGG
Molecule: ribosomal RNA, 253 nt
Filed under: uncultured bacterium
Lineage: Bacteria
Description: partial 16S ribosomal RNA
Rfam family: Bacterial small subunit ribosomal RNA
Source: RNAcentral